This 323-nucleotide ribosomal RNA is filed under the name uncultured bacterium. Its description in RNAcentral is "bacterial SSU rRNA". It matches the Rfam family "Bacterial small subunit ribosomal RNA", at positions 28 to 334 of the family's 1533-position model. The record is from RNAcentral.
GAUGAACGCUGGCGGCGUGCUUAACACAUGCAAGUCGAACGGGAAACAUUUUAUUGAAGCUUCGGCAGAUUUAACUUGUUUCUAGUGGCGGACGGGUGAGUAACGCGUGGGUAACCUGCCUCACACUGGGGGAUAACAGUCAGAAAUGACUGCUAAUACCGCAUAAGCGCACGGAACCGCAUGGUUUUGUGUGAAAAACUCCGGUGGUGUGAGAUGGACCCGCGUUGGAUUAGCUAGUUGGUGAGGUAACGGCUCACCAAGGCGACGAUCAGUAGCCGGUCUGAGAGGAUGAACGGCCACAUUGGGACUGAGAUACGGCCCAG